This 611-nucleotide ribosomal RNA is filed under the name uncultured Aeromicrobium sp. Its description in RNAcentral is "bacterial SSU rRNA". It matches the Rfam family "Bacterial small subunit ribosomal RNA", at positions 94 to 719 of the family's 1533-position model. The record is from RNAcentral. Lineage: Bacteria; Bacillati; Actinomycetota; Actinomycetes; Propionibacteriales; Nocardioidaceae.
AGCGGCGAACGGGUGAGUAACACGUGAGCAAUCUGCCCUUCUCUUUGGAAUAAGCGCGGGAAACUGCGUCUAAUGCCGAAUAUGACUUCGAAAGGCAUCUUUUGAAGUGGAAAGUUCCGGCGGAGAAGGAUGAGCUCGCGGCCUAUCAGCUAGUUGGUGAGGUAAUGGCUCACCAAGGCAAUGACGGGUAGCCGGCCUGAGAGGGUGACCGGCCACACUGGGACUGAGACACGGCCCAGACUCCUACGGGAGGCAGCAGUGGGGAAUAUUGGACAAUGGGCGAAAGCCUGAUCCAGCAACGCCGCGUGAGGGAUGACGGCCUUCGGGUUGUAAACCUCUUUCAGCUCCGACGAAGCGAAAGUGACGGUAGGUGCAGAAGAAGGACCGGCCAACUACGUGCCAGCAGCCGCGGUAAUACGUAGGGUCCGAGCGUUGUCCGGAAUUAUUGGGCGUAAAGGGCUCGUANGCGGUUUGUCACGUCGGGAGUGAAAACUCAGGGCUUAACCCUGAGCGUGCUUCCGAUACGGGCAGACUAGAGGUAUGCAGGGGAGAACGGAAUUCCUGGUGUAGCGGUGGAAUGNGCAGAUAUCAGGAGGAACACCGGUGGCNAA